This 605-nucleotide ribosomal RNA is filed under the name Aequorivita antarctica. Its description in RNAcentral is "bacterial SSU rRNA". It matches the Rfam family "Bacterial small subunit ribosomal RNA", at positions 60 to 664 of the family's 1533-position model. The record is from RNAcentral. Lineage: Bacteria; Pseudomonadati; Bacteroidota; Flavobacteriia; Flavobacteriales; Flavobacteriaceae.
AGUCGAGGGGUAGAGGUUGCUUGCAACCUUGAGACCGGCGCACGGGUGCGUAACGCGUAUGCAAUCUGCCCUCUACAGGGGAAUAGCCCAGGGAAACUUGGAUUAAUGCCCCAUGGUAUCAUUUCACAGCAUUGUGAGAUGAUUAAAGAUUUAUCGGUAGAGGAUGAGCAUGCGUCCCAUUAGCUAGUUGGUAUGGUAACGGCAUACCAAGGCUACGAUGGGUAGGGGCCCUGAGAGGGGGAUCCCCCACACUGGUACUGAGACACGGACCAGACUCCUACGGGAGGCAGCAGUGAGGAAUAUUGGACAAUGGGCGGAAGCCUGAUCCAGCCAUGCCGCGUGCAGGAAGACUGCCCUAUGGGUUGUAAACUGCUUUUUUACGGGAAGAAACACCCCCACGUGUGGGGGCCUGACGGUACCGUAGGAAUAAGCAUCGGCUAACUCCGUGCCAGCAGCCGCGGUAAUACGGAGGAUGCAAGCGUUAUCCGGAAUCAUUGGGUUUAAAGGGUCCGUAGGCGGGCGAUUAAGUCAGGGGUGAAAGUCUGCGGCUCAACCGUAGGACUGCCCUUGAUACUGGUUGUCUUGAAUCGUUGUGAAGUGAUUAG